This 253-nucleotide ribosomal RNA is filed under the name uncultured bacterium. RNAcentral describes it as "partial 16S ribosomal RNA". It matches the Rfam family "Bacterial small subunit ribosomal RNA", at positions 524 to 776 of the family's 1533-position model. The record is from RNAcentral.
UACGGGGGGGGCUAGCGUUGUUCGGAAUUACUGGGCGUAAAGGGCGCGUAGGCGGUCUGCUAAGUUGGAUGUGAAAACUCUGGGCUUAACCCAGAGCCUGCAUUCAAUACUGACAGGCUAGAGUUCUGGAGGGGAUAGCGGAAUUCCUGGUGUAGCGGUGAAAUGCGUAGAUAUCGUGAGGAAGACCAGUGGCGAAGGCGGGUCUCUGGACAGUUCCUGACACUGAGGCACGUAGGCCAGGGGAGCAAACGGG